GGUGCUGUGGCACAGUGGGUUAAUGCCCUGGCCUGAAGCGCCAGCAUCUUGUAUGGGUGCUGGUUUGAGACCUGGCUGCUCCA
This 83-nucleotide transfer RNA is filed under the name Oryctolagus cuniculus (rabbit). It matches the Rfam family "tRNA". Rfam says of the family: Transfer RNA (tRNA) molecules are approximately 80 nucleotides in length. Their secondary structure includes four short double-helical elements and three loops (D, anti-codon, and T loops). The record is from Rfam by way of RNAcentral. Lineage: Eukaryota; Metazoa; Chordata; Mammalia; Lagomorpha; Leporidae.